This 492-nucleotide ribosomal RNA is filed under the name uncultured bacterium. Its description in RNAcentral is "partial 16S ribosomal RNA". It matches the Rfam family "Bacterial small subunit ribosomal RNA", at positions 29 to 507 of the family's 1533-position model. The record is from RNAcentral.
AGUGAACGCUGGCGGUAGGCCUAACACAUGCAAGUCGAACGGCAGCACAGUAAGAGCUUGCUCUUACGGGUGGCGAGUGGCGGACGGGUGAGGAAUACAUCGGAAUCUACUUUUUCGUGGGGGAUAACGUAGGGAAACUUACGCUAAUACCGCAUACGACCUACGGGUGAAAGCAGGGGAUCUUCGGACCUUGCGCGAUUGAAUGAGCCGAUGUCGGAUUAGCUAGUUGGCGGGGUAAAGGCUCACCAAGGCGACGAUCCGUAGCUGGUCUGAGAGGAUGAUCGGCCACACUGGAACUGAGACACGGUCCAGACUCCUACGGGAGGCAGCAGUGGGGAAUAUUGCGAAAUGGGCGAAAGCCUGACGGAGCAACGCCGCGUGGGUGAAGAAGGUCUUCGGAUCGUAAAACUCUUUUAUUAGGAAAGAAAAAAAGUGUAAGUAACCCGGCAUGUCUUGACGGUACCUAAAGAGAAAGCCCCGGCUAACUACGUG